RNAcentral lists this ribosomal RNA (253 nucleotides) under uncultured bacterium. RNAcentral describes it as "partial 16S ribosomal RNA". It matches the Rfam family "Bacterial small subunit ribosomal RNA", at positions 524 to 776 of the family's 1533-position model. The record is from RNAcentral.
UACGAAGGGUGCGAGCGUUGUCCGGAAUUAUUGGGCGUAAAGGGCGCGUAGGCGGCUAGAUGUGUCAAAGGUGAAAUCCCUCGGCUCAACUGAGGAACUGCCUUUGAAACUGUCUGGCUUGAGGCCGGGAGAGGGUAGCGGAAUUCCCAGUGUAGCGGUGAAAUGCGUAGAUAUUGGGAGGAACACCAGUGGCAAAGGCGGCUACCUGGACCGGUUCUGACGCUGAGGCGCGAAAGCGUGGGUAGCAAACAGG